UUACUAAUACAACCUUUUUGUAAAGUGUUACCGUCUUCAGAAAGACAGAUACUAACUAAAUUAAACUAAGUAACUAACCCAGCCGGCACACGACCGACCUUCAACGUUGAAAUAUGGUUGAAAUAAGGUCAGAUGUGUUUUGAACGUUGAAAUAAUGUUGAUAGAACGUUUAAUGUUGAACGGUUGAAAAACAGCCUGCAUAUGACAAGGCUUCAACGUUGAAAUGUGGUUGAAAAUACGUCAGUUGUUGCUUUAAUGUUGAAACAAUGUUGAAUGAUAAAUGGUUGAAAAAAGUUACAGAAAUCCUUGUACAAAUCAACGUUGACAUUUUUUAUCAUGGUCUGUAUGUUGAAUUAACGUCAUGGCUUCACCCAAUAUUCAACAUGUUUGGUUACCAUGGUAUCGGAGGACUCGGCGCACGCGGCCACGCGCAGCGCUUCACUUCACUUAAUUACUAACACCUGACCUGCAGUGCAGCAGAAUUCAGAGAGACGCACUCACUUGCACAGCAUUGAAUGGAAAAGGCUUUGUCCAUGUCCAGUUGAGGGCAUCAAGAACACGCAGAUAGCAUAAACCUGUGUCAGCCUGGACAGACUGUAGAUCUGCUACUCAACGCCAAGGCUUUUGUAUGCAUGUCUGACUACUACAGUGUUCUUUAAAGGUUUUCUGGAAGCUCCAUUUGAGGGCAUCAAGGACAUACUGAUGGC
Molecule: long non-coding RNA, 707 nt
Filed under: Danio rerio (zebrafish)
Lineage: Eukaryota; Metazoa; Chordata; Actinopteri; Cypriniformes; Danionidae
Description: si:dkey-161f11.2 (ENSDARG00000101124.3)
Source: RNAcentral